UAACGAAUCUUCCGCAAUGCGCGAAAGCGUGACGGGGCAAUGCCGCGUGUGGGAUGAAGCCCUUCGGGGUGUAAACCACUGUCAGGGUGCAGGAACUCAAUGACCAUACCCAAAGGAAGCACCGGCUAACUCUGUGCCAGCAGCCGCGGUAAUACAGAGGGUGCAAGCGUUAAUCGGAAUCACUGGGCUUAAAGCGUUCGUAGGCGGGCUUGCAGGCGCGUUGUGAAAGCCCCCGGCUCAACCGGGGAACUGCUUCGCGAACCGCAAGUCUUGAGUCAAGUAGGGGCGGUCGGAACGAUAGGUGGAGCGGUGAAAUGCGUAGAUAUCUAUCGGAACGCCAAAGGUGAAGACAGGCCGCUGGGCUUGUACUGACGCUGAGGAACGAAAGCGUGGGGAGCAAACGGGAUUAGAUACCCCCGUAGUCC
Molecule: ribosomal RNA, 425 nt
Filed under: uncultured bacterium
Lineage: Bacteria
Description: bacterial SSU rRNA
Rfam family: Bacterial small subunit ribosomal RNA
Source: RNAcentral